This 465-nucleotide ribosomal RNA is filed under the name uncultured bacterium. RNAcentral describes it as "partial 16S ribosomal RNA". It matches the Rfam family "Bacterial small subunit ribosomal RNA", at positions 28 to 507 of the family's 1533-position model. The record is from RNAcentral.
GAUGAACGCUGGCGGCGUGCUUAACACAUGCAAGUCGAACGGAAAGGCUCCUGCUUGCAGGGGUACUCGAGUGGCGAACGUGUGAGAAACACGUGGGUGAUCUGCCCUGCACUGCGGGGUAAGCCUGGGAAACUGGGUCUAAUACCGGAUAGGACGAUGGGUUGGAUGCGAUUGUGGAAAGUUGUUGGGUGUGGGAUGAGCUCGCGGCUUAUCAGCUUGUUGGUGGGGUAAUGGCCUACCAAGGCGUAGACGGGUAGCCGGCCUGAGGGGGUGGACGGCCACCUUGGGACUGAGAUACGGCCCAGAGUGCUACGGGAGGCAGCAGUGGAGAAUAUUGCACAAUGGGCGCAAGCGUGAUGCAGCGACGCCGCGUGGGGGAUGCCGGCCUUCGGGGUGUAAACUGCUUUCGCUAGAGACGAAGCGCAAGUGACGGUACCUGGAGAAGAAGCACCGGCUAACUACGUG